This 3323-nucleotide long non-coding RNA is filed under the name Salmo salar (Atlantic salmon). Its description in RNAcentral is "lncRNA (ENSSSAG00000111985.1)". Lineage: Eukaryota; Metazoa; Chordata; Actinopteri; Salmoniformes; Salmonidae. The record is from RNAcentral.
UAAAAUGUACUAGGGGCGCGCUCUUUGCAGUGGCGGUUCUAGGCCAUUUCAACUGGGGGGGCCAAGCUGGGGCCAGUUGUACUGUUAGAGGGGCCAGUUACAUUAGACGUUAUUGUUGUCAUAUCGUUUUCUUCACUGCAUUGCAGGCAUUAGCAGGCAAAAGACCAUGUUCAUAAUCAUCAUCGUUGGCACCUUCUUUCCUCUUCUGCCAUCUCCUGCCUCUUUUUUGCCUCUGUCAUCUUCUCUCUUCCACUGAUUAAAGCUGUGGCCGUCAAUGGCUCUCUUUCUCUGAUUAAAGCUGUGUGGCCUUCAAUGGCUCUCUUUCUCUCCUCCUCUCUCUAUUCCUGCUUCGCCUCUCCAGUUUCUUUAUGUUUUGCAAUUUUGAUCUGUUGUUUUUUUAUCCUGGUCUUCUUGUUGUCGUACCCUCUUCGAUCUGUAGUUUUUAUCCUGCUCUUCUUGUCGUCGUAUCCUCUUCGAUCUGUAGUUUUUUUUAUCCUGGUCUUCUUGUUGUCGUACCCUCUUCGAUCUGUAGUUUUUAUCCUGGUCUUCUUGUUGUCGUACCCUCUUCGAUCUGUAGUUUUUAUCCUGGUCUUCUUGUUGUCGUACCCUCUUCGAUCUGUAGUUUUUUAUCCUGCUCCUCUUGUUGUUGUACCCUCUCCAGCUGUCUGUCCAUCGAUAACAGUCUUUCUUCCUUCUUCCUCCUGAUUUGUUGUUGUUGUUCUUCUAUCCGUUCUCUUUCCCCCUUCAGUAUUUCUAGCCUCUUCUCUUCAUUCAUAUUGAGCCGUUCCUAUGCCUCUGCUUGUAAAUCUUCCAGCAGGCUGUAGUGGAGCGGGUCGAGAGCUUCAAGUUCCUCGCUGUCCACAUAACUAAGGAAUUGUCAUGGUUCACACACACCAACACAUUCGUGAAAGAGAGCAUGACAACCCCUUUUCCUCCUCAGUAGCCUGAAAAUAUUUGUCAUGGGCCCUGAGAUCCUCAAAAGGUUCUACAGCUGCACCAUUGAGAGCAUCUUGACUGGCUGCAUCACCACUUGGUAUGGCAAUUGCUCGGCAUCCAACCGCAAGGUGCUACAAAGGGUAGUGCGCACGGCCCAGUACAUCCCUGGGGUCAAGCUUCCUGCCAUCCAAGGACCUCUAUAUCAGGCGGUGUCAGAGGAAGGCCCUAAAAAUUGUCAAAGACUCCAGCCACCCAUGUCAUAGACUGUUCAUUCUGUUACCGAACGGCAAGCGAUGCCAAUUCACAAAGUCUGGAACCAACAGGACCCUGAACAGUUUCUACCACUAAGCCAUAAGUAGCUAGUUAAAUAGUUAACCAAUAGCUACGCGGACUUUCUGCAUUGACCUUUAUUUGCAAUAACUCUUUUGUCACGUUCUGACCAGUAAAGGGGUUAUUUGUUAUUGUAGUUUGGUCAGAACGUGGCAGGGGGUGUUUGUUUUAUGUGGUUCGGGGUUUGUUGGGCUAUGUGUUUAUGUAGAGGGGUGUUGGUUUAGAGUGUUCCGGGGUUUUUGGGCUAUGUUCUAUGUUAGUAUAUUUCUAUAUUCUAGUCUUUCUAGUUCUAUGUUUAGUUUAUUGAUUUGGCCUUCAAUUGGAGGCAGCUGUUCCUCGUUGCCUCUGAUUGAAGGUCCUAUGUAUAGGGGGUGUUUUGUAAUUGGAAUUGUGGGUAGUUAUUUCCUGUUUAGUGUAUGUUGCACCUGACGGGACUGUUUAGUGUCGUUCGUUUGUUUUUGUAUACGUUGUUUGUUUUCCUUCUUCACCAUAAAAAAAAAGAAGAUGAGUAUACAUGUUCCCGCUGCAUUUUGGUCCAAUUCAUACGACACCCGUAACAUCUUUUGACUCAUCACAUGUGCCGGUGUUACUGUUUUAUCUUUCCUGUUGCCUAGUCACUUUAUCUCUACCUAUAUGUACAUAUCUACCUCAAUGACCUAUACAGCCUAGUUAUCGUUACUCAGUACUGGUACCCCGUGUAUACAGCCUAGUUAUCGUUACUCAGUACUGGUACCCUGUGUAUACAGCCUAGUUAUCGUUACUCAGUACUGGUACCCUGUGUAUACAGCCUAGUUAUCAUUACUCAGUACUGGUACCCUGUGUAUACAGCCUAGUUAUCAUUACUCAGUACUGGUACCCUGUGUAUACAGCCUAGUUAUCAUUACUCAGUACUGGUACCCCGUGUAUACAGCCUAGUUAUCAUUACUCAGUACUGGUACCCUGUGUAUACAGCCUAGUUAUCAUUACUCAGUACUGGUACCCUGUGUAUACAGCCUAGUUAUCAUUACUCAGUACUGGUACCCCGUGUAUACAGCCUAGUUAUCGUUACUCAGUACUGGUACCCCGUGUAUACAGCCUAGUUAUCGUUACUCAGUACUGGUACCCCGUGUAUACAGCCUAGUUAUCAUUACUCAUUGUGGAUGUAUUCCUCGUGUUAUAUUUUUCUAUUUUUCUAUUAUUUCUCUAUUUUUCUCUCUGAAUUGUUGGGACUGUCAGUAGUAAGCGUUUCACUGUUAGUCUAUAGCUGUUGUUUAUGAAGCGUAAGAUAAACAAUGUUUGAUGUGAAUAAUUCUACAUGUAAUUUCACCGCCCGUGCUGUUAGUUUGGCGGUAACACUAAAUCCUCUCGGGCACCAUUAGACCUGUCUGAGCACGUAUGUCUCACAGAGUCUGUGUCGUGAGGAGGUACAGUAUCUGCUGGAGCCAGACCUUGUUGGAGGAUUUCCACAGGAAAGCUGCAAUCAGUCCAGUAAGAAAACAGGAUAUGAAGUGCAGUGAAGUGCAUUGACUGAGGAAGUGAGAUACUCAGCACAGGAAGUUGAAUCUUAACUUAUUGUUGUAUAGAGGUUUACAAACAACACAACGCAUAACUGACGUAGAGAGAUCUUAUCACAGCUUACAGUAUGUAGAAACAAGUUAUAAAGACUAGUAGAGAGCAGAGCCUUAUACGUGUAUCUGUCUUAUGGAUCCAAUACAGGGUUUCAUAUAAGGAAUUAUGUCCUGUUAAGAAAGUCUACGUGAAGUGUUGUGUUUUUAUCUGCAUACUCACUGUAUGUUUAGCUCAUAUCAGCACCAUUUACAAUCAACACCACCAUCAUAGAGAUCCUAUUAAACCCUAAAAGUUCCAGAAUGCGAUGAAAAUGGCAGCCAUAUUGGCCAGGGAGAAAUCCAAACCAGUUUAAUUGGAAUGAAUUUCAGUAGAGGCAGAAGCCUGAUUUGACUUAUGCAGGAAAAUAAAAGUAUGGCAUGUGAUAUAAAAUAUUGUGUAUUAGAAGUAAAAUAUUGCCAUAAAAUUAUAAAUACAGUUCAUGCAGGUUUUAUAUAAAAGUUAUAAAUACC